GUCUACGGCCAUACCACCCUGAACGCGCCCGAUCUCGUCUGAUCUCGGAAGCUAAGCAGGGUCGGGCCUGGUUAGUACUUGGAUGGGAGAAUAAGAAGUAAGAAGAUUAUAUACA
Molecule: ribosomal RNA, 115 nt
Filed under: Myotis brandtii (Brandt's bat)
Lineage: Eukaryota; Metazoa; Chordata; Mammalia; Chiroptera; Vespertilionidae
Source: RNAcentral